This 252-nucleotide ribosomal RNA is filed under the name uncultured bacterium. Its description in RNAcentral is "partial 16S ribosomal RNA". It matches the Rfam family "Bacterial small subunit ribosomal RNA", at positions 524 to 776 of the family's 1533-position model. The record is from RNAcentral.
UACGUAGGUCCCGAGCGUUGUCCGGAUUUAUUGGGCGUAAAGCGAGCGCAGGUGGUUUAUUAAGUCUGGUGUAAAAGGCAGUGGCUCAACCAUUGUAUGCAUUGGAAACUGGUAGACUUGAGUGCAGGAGAGGAGAGUGGAAUUCCAUGUGUAGCGGUGAAAUGCGUAGAUAUAUGGAGGAACACCGGUGGCGAAAGCGGCUUUCUGGCUCAUAACUGACGCUGAGGCGCGAAAGCGUGGGGAGCAAACAGG